GUUGGGCAUGGUGGCACAUGCCUGUAAUCCCAGUGACAUAGGAGGCUGAGGCAGGAGGAUCUUAAAUUCAAGGCUAGCCUCAGCAGCUUUGUGAGAACCUAAGCAACUUAGUGAAACCCUGUCUCAA
This 127-nucleotide small RNA is filed under the name Marmota monax (woodchuck). The record is from RNAcentral. Lineage: Eukaryota; Metazoa; Chordata; Mammalia; Rodentia; Sciuridae.